GUGGGGCAAGAGCCCCCGAGUGCCCUGAGCGUCAGUCCCUGGAGGAGCCAUGACGGAGUACAAGCUUGUGGUGGUGGGUGCAGGAGGUGUGGGGAAGAGCGCCCUGACUAUCCAGCUGAUCCAGAACCAUUUUGUGGACGAAUAUGACCCCACCAUAGAGGAUUCAUACCGGAAGCAGGUGGUCAUUGAUGGGGAGACCUGUCUGCUGGAUAUCUUGGACACAGCUGGCCAAGAGGAGUAUAGUGCCAUGCGGGACCAAUACAUGCGCACUGGGGAGGGCUUCCUUUGUGUGUUCGCCAUCAACAAUACCAAAUCUUUCGAGGACAUCCAUCAGUACAGGGAGCAGAUCAAGCGGGUGAAGGACUCAGAUGAUGUGCCCAUGGUGCUGGUGGGAAACAAAUGUGACCUGGCUACACGCACCGUGGAGUCUCGGCAGGCCCAAGACCUUGCCCGCAGUUACGGCAUUCCCUACAUUGAGACAUCAGCCAAGACCCGCCAGGGCAGCCGCUCUGGCUCUGGCUUCAGCUCCGGGACCCACUGGGAACCCCUGGGAUCCAUGUGACCCAUCGGCCCCCAUGCUGGAGUAGAAGACGCCUUCUAUACACUAGUUCGAGAGAUCCGGCAGCACAAACUGCGGAAGCUGAAUCCACCAGAUGAGAGUGGGCCAGGGUGCAUGAGCUGCAAAUGUGUGCUAUCCUGAUCCAGGUCACUGGUCUUUCGGGAAGUCGCCCUCAUGCCUAGGGUGCGCCUCUCUGUUAUGAGGCCAGAACUACUCCAAGCCAGCCAGCGGACUGUUUAGUGAUCGUACAUCCUUGAUUCUAGCAUCACACACUCAAUCUCAGCACCACACACUAGACUUAGCCACCUCUAAAAAAGCCCCACCUCAAGCACAUGGGGGCUUUUGGGGACAUCUGGACAACAGCCACAACACCCACAGACCUCUGAAUAUUACAUUUAGGAUUUUGCAUUAUGGCCAUGUGUGACAUGGAUAUCUGGGUUCUCCUUUAUGUCGUUACCUUGCUGGUCUGGGUCUUAAGGUUACAGCUUUAUCAAAUCAUGGGGGGGGGGCUUUCUACUUCCCUGGAGUUUGAGAGUCAGACAUGUGGCUCUGGCCUGCUCUCGGCCUGUCCCUCACUGGUGGUCUUCAUGUGCCGGUCACUGCCUCUGUGUCCCUUGGUGAAGACCUUUCUUUUCUCCCAUGAGCAAGUCUGUUCCUACAUGGCAGCUUCUCUGUGUUCCCUUUAUCAGGCUGGGGAAAAGCUUAGCUCUAACAAGGCCUUUUCGAAUAACCAGUUUUUGGUUUUGUUUCUCUUUUCUAAGAUUUCUGGUUUACUGUCAUUUUGCUUUUGUAAACAUCUUCCUGAAACCCAGGUGAUGGGCAAGGCUGGGCAGUUCUCGUCUAGCGUGCAGCCUGCUUGUAGCCAUGCUGGGCCAUCUAACUGUCCCCUCCACAGUCACCUACUGGGUCCUGCUGUGCCUGUCCCAAGCUUCCCAGCCCUCACCUAGACACACCAGGGUGCUCACUCCAGGACCAGGUGGAGCCCAAUUCCUGUCCUUCCAGGUGUGCACAGGGCUUGGUGACAAAUUUCUUGCCAAGAGAAAUGUGGCUACAGGAGGGCUUCAGGCUGCCACCAUGGCAGGAUUCUGUACCCAGGCUACAAGACAGGCUGUGCCCAGCCUCACCCUUACCCCCAACACCACCAUGUUCUUGCUUGAUAGAGACUGGGUUUCUGACCAGGCCUGGUAUGUGCAUGCUGUACCUGGUGUCUGCCAUGGUUCUUGCCCUUCACCUUCUAGACCUCCAGCAGGAGGGACCACCCCUUUCCUGGUACCUAUCAAGGGGCUUUGUAGCUACAGCAAUAUCUAUGGGGGGAAGAAUCUGCCACAAGGCAGGCCCAGGGCAAGCCCAGGGCAGACUGGAGUGCCAGAGUUCAGCAGAGUCCAGCAUGGGUGCUGUGAAGCCUUGGGAGAGGUCAGGUGCACUGAGGAUGAGGACUUCCCCCAUGCGGUGAAAAAGCAGACAAGGGCUCAAGGUCUAGACUUCAGUUCCUCCCUCAGGCCACCUGAGGUGGGUGGUACAAGCCAUCCGGGGCUUUCUCAGCAAGGUGACCUGUGCACAGAUGUGACCAGGAUCAGGGCAGUGUGCCCCACCGUUGGAACAAUACGGAAUGGCUGGUGCUCCCCCUAUCCUGUUAUGAACAAGGAGUUUUAUUUCUCCUUCUCCAACCUGUGCACUUUAUUUCCUUUCCCUGAAGUAGGUGAGAUUUCUGAAAUAAAGCUGACUAGCGUG
This is an RNA transcript of Cavia porcellus (domestic guinea pig), 2290 nucleotides long. It is a transcript of the gene named HRas proto-oncogene, GTPase, with no coding region annotated. The record is from RefSeq and is a predicted model, not a curated record. NCBI's taxonomy places the organism in Eukaryota, Metazoa, Chordata, Mammalia, Rodentia, Caviidae. The transcript has 6 exons.